AAGAGGGCACUAUGGUUACACUAAAUAACAAGAAAUUUCCAUAUACCCACAUCGUUAACCCCACACCGGAAGGUUAUAUAGGAAAGACUAAAAGAAAAGGAAGGAACUCGGCAAACAUAAGCCUCGCCUGUUUACCAAAAACAUCGCCUCCUGCAAAAAUCAACGUAUAGGAGGUCUUACCUGCCCAGUGACAUGUUAAAC
Molecule: ribosomal RNA, 201 nt
Filed under: Noturus exilis (slender madtom)
Lineage: Eukaryota; Metazoa; Chordata; Actinopteri; Siluriformes; Ictaluridae
Description: partial 16S ribosomal RNA
Source: RNAcentral